AGCAGCCGCGGUAAUUCCAGCUCCAGUAGCGUAUAUUAAAGUUGUUGCAGUUAAAAAGCUCGUAGUUGAAUUUCGGGAUUCGCUCAUUGGUCAGGCUUAACUGUCUGUACUGAUGUGUCGGAUUUCUACCUUCUGAAGAACCUUCAUGUCAUUAAUUUGGUGUGUUGGGGAAUCAGGACUGUUACUUUGAAAAAUUAGAGUGUUUAAAGCAGGCUAACGUCUGAAUACAUUAGCAUGGAAUAAUGAAAUAGGACGGUACGGUUCUAUUUUGUUGGUUUCUAGGAUCGCCGUAAUGAUUAAUAGGGAUAGUUGGGGGCAUUAGUAUCCAAUUGUCAGAGGUGAAAUUCUUGGAUUUAUUGAAGACUAACUACUGCGAAAGCAUUUGCCAAGGAUGUUUUCAUUAAUCAAGAACGAAAGUUAGGGGAUCGAAGACGAUCAGAUACCGUCGUA
Molecule: ribosomal RNA, 450 nt
Filed under: uncultured Diversispora
Lineage: Eukaryota; Fungi; Glomeromycota; Glomeromycetes; Diversisporales; Diversisporaceae
Description: bacterial SSU rRNA
Rfam family: Eukaryotic small subunit ribosomal RNA
Source: RNAcentral